AGAGAAGAAUUAUCUCAGAGGAACGGAAUUAACUUCUGAUUAAGGCAUAAUUAAUAAUGUCGCCAAAACCUGUUGGUUUUACCUGCAGAGGUGUGUGAAACUUCUGAGCAGCUGUUCUUGUACAUCUUGAAAUGCAGCAACUGUGUGAAGAUCUGCUGCUCCCUGUUUCAAAGGCCUAACCAAGAGUGUUCUGAGGUCUCUGAGCAUUAUCUUCUAGUCUCAGCAGAAAAGCAGUGGUGUAAUUAACAGCUUCAUUAAUGCCAGAGUAAUUAUGAGCUACAGGAAUGGCUGUUGCAUCAGGAAUUCUUCUUGUAGAACUGCAGCAACUUUUUGAUUCUUCAGAACUCAGGAGAAACAUAAAGGGUUGUCCUUUCGAGGCAGACCAGAUCAAGGAGUGGUGCGUGCAGUACCUCAUCCCAGGAUA
RNAcentral lists this long non-coding RNA (424 nucleotides) under Taeniopygia guttata (zebra finch). RNAcentral's name for it is "lncRNA (ENSTGUG00000025705.1)". Lineage: Eukaryota; Metazoa; Chordata; Aves; Passeriformes; Estrildidae. The record is from RNAcentral.